GUGGGGAAUUUUGCGCAAUGGGGGAAACCCUGACGCAGCAACGCCGCGUGAGUGAUGAAGGCCUUCGGGUCGUAAAGCUCUGUCAGAGGGAAAGAAAUGCGGGAGGGUUAAUACCCCUUUUGCUUGACGGUACCCUCAAAGGAAGCACCGGCUAACUCCGUGCCAGCAGCCGCGGUAAUACGGAGGGUGCGAGCGUUGUUCGGAAUUAUUGGGCGUAAAGCGCGUGUAGGCGGUCUUUUAAGUCUGAUGUGAAAGCCCCGGGCUCAACCUGGGAAGUGCAUUGGAAACUGGGAGACUUGAAUACGGGAGAGGGUAGUGGAAUUCCUAGUGUAGGAGUGAAAUCCGUAGAUAUUAGGAGGAACACCGGUGGCGAAGGCGGCUACCUGGACCGAUAUUGACGCUGAGACGCGAAAGCGUGGGGAGCAAACAGGAUUAGAUACCCCUGUAGUCC
Molecule: ribosomal RNA, 451 nt
Filed under: uncultured bacterium
Lineage: Bacteria
Description: partial 16S ribosomal RNA
Rfam family: Bacterial small subunit ribosomal RNA
Source: RNAcentral